AGACUUACCCACCUUUUCCUAACACAGAAGCUAUGAGCACCAACCCUCUUGACUACGAGCAUGCACGCAAAAUACUUUUAGAUAUAAAUGAUGGAAAACAAAGUAACCAGGAAUCUCGGGUGGUGAGUACCUUUUGGGGAUAAAGUAUCUCUUUAUUUGGUGUUUGCUUUUGUGAAAGGGAACUCCAACAAUGAAGAAAAUAUUUCUACACACUGCCCAGAGCCAAAAGAUAGCUAGUCAGCAAAGAUGUUUUAAACAUCUAAAGGAAAAUAAAGCACAGUGGUGGUAGCAGCCAUCUCUGGAAGUGUUAUUUGUCCCUUAAGAUCUUCAACUUGAUACUGAAAAAAAAAAACAUUCCAAUCGUAUAAGUAGAGCGUGCAGUCGUAUUUUAAUGUUGAAAUAGGAAUGAAUCUGCAUAUUGACACCUGUAAAUAAAUCUUUUGUUUCCCUUUAACGUUUCAAAAUGUAGAAUAAAUUCUUCACAGCUUAAUAUCUUGUAAAUCAAAUAUAUUCGUUGUUAUUUUACCACUCAUAAAAAGCAAACAAACACUUUAUUGUGUUAUUACUGCACUAUUUGAUCUGUAACUCACAAUGCCUGGUUUUACUGUGGGUCAACUGUCUCAAGUUAAACCCUUGAAAAUAGAAACAUAAUUGUAGUAAGAAUACAACUAGUCUAUUAGUUGUGAGGCAGAAGUAAUUCUUUAUACGAAUCAACAACAAAAGUAUGUUAUUUUGAAUGUGUAGAUAUUGGACUGUAUCACAUUACUCAUGUUGAAACAUGAAAUACUGUAUUUAUAUCCUGGGUAUUGUUGGACUGCAUCACAUUACUCAUGUUGAAACAUGAAAUACUGUUUUUAUAUCCUGGGUAUUGUUGGACUGCAUCACGGUGAUCAUGUUGAAACACGAAAUACUGUUUUUUAUCCUGGGUACUGUUGGACUGUAUCACAUUACUCAUGUUGAAACAUGAAAUACUGUUUUUAUAUCCUGGGUAUUGUUGGACUGUAUCACAUUACUCAUGUUGAAACACGAAAUACUGUUUUUUAUUCUGGGUAUUAUUGGACUGCAUCACAGUGAUCAUGUUGAAACACGAAAUACUGUUUUUUGAUCCUGGGUAUUGUUGGACUGUAUCACAUUACUCAUGUUGAAACAUGAAAUACUGUUUUUAUAUCCUGGGUAUUGUUGGACUGCAUCACGGUGAUCAUGUUGAAACACGAAAUACUGUUUUUUGAUCCUGGGUAUUGUUGGACUGCAUCACAGUGAUCAUGUUGAAACACGAAAUACUGUUUUUUGAUCCUGGGUACUGUUGGACUGCAUCACAGUGAUCAUGUUGAAACACGAAAUACUGUUUUUUGAUCCUGGGUACUGUUGGACUGCAUCACAGUGAUCAUGUUGAAACACGAAAUACUGUUUUUUUAUUCUGGGUAUUGUUGGACUGUAUCACAUUGAUCAUGUUGAAACAUGAAAUACUGUUGUUUUUUUAUCCUUUCUGCUGAAGUUUUCAUAAGAUUUGAAGCUGAAAUUUCUUAUGAUGGUGUCCAAUGUUAUUACUAAUUUUAGAGUAGAGGUAGAAAUUGCCCCCCCCCCCCCUUUUUUUUUUUUCUCUGACAAUACAAUUCCAAGAAUAUGUUGUUUGUGUAAUGAAAUGUCUCUCAGGUCCUAUUAUUUACCAUCAUUACAUAAAAAAAUAUUACUUUGAUUAAUAUUAAUAACAAGCAUGUCUGUUUCUCAACUUGAACUAAACCAAAACGUGGAAUUAUAUAUGAAUGUGUGUGGAACAGUAACCUAUAAAUCAGUUAUAAAACAUAUUUUGAAUAGUAAAAUAUAUAGUUCAUAAUUUUGCAACAGAUUUUUUUCGUGUUUAAACUGUAACUUUUAACAGUUUUUGUUUUUCAAUGAGUAAUUGGAUCACUGUGUGGUAAAUGUUUUGGAAGUUGUCUUUCGUACCCUUCAUAAAGGUUUUUAUGUUUGGAAAACCUUUUACCAUACAUUUUGUUGAAAUAACAUGUGCUGAACAAGAGUUGUUUUUUUAAAUUAGUAUAAAAAAAUUAAAGAAUACUCAAAAAGAGGGAGAUUAGCACUAAUUAGGUGUUUGAAUAAUGAAAUUUAAAAACCUUUUAAACAGUUCCUAAGCCUUGUUCCCGCUAUUGAAUGAAUGAAAUCGGUACUUAGGCUAAGUGGUUUUUCGUCAUGAGGCUGUUGUCACUGAUUAAAAGCUACUAGAGUAAUAGGAAUAUUUUCCCCAAUAAUUCUGGUCUGCUUUUACCACCAUAGGUGUUCAGUCACACAUACACAAAAGUUACUGUUUAUGAAAAAUCUAUUCAAGUUGUUUUAAUAAUUUCUUACUUUGAUUAUUAAACAUGAAGACCAGAAAAUCAUUUUAAAACACCCAUUUCAUCAUGUUAUUAUAUGAGGAGCACUGGUGUUAUACAAAGAUACACCAGGUGGUGGUGGCUUUAUAAAUUCAUAUAAGCCCUCUGGUGGAUCUGCGGUAUGUCUUAGGGCUUAUAAUUUGGGUUUUGAUACCCACGAUGGGUAGAGCACAGAUAGCUCAUUGUGUAGUUAACAACAAAACUAAUCUUUUUGGUUAUACUUCUGACAUUUUUCUACAAUAAAAAAUUGUUUGAGUUCUU
This 2630-nucleotide long non-coding RNA is filed under the name Limulus polyphemus (Atlantic horseshoe crab). RNAcentral describes it as "uncharacterized LOC111083941". Lineage: Eukaryota; Metazoa; Arthropoda; Merostomata; Xiphosura; Limulidae. The record is from RNAcentral.